This 404-nucleotide ribosomal RNA is filed under the name Fusobacteriota bacterium. Its description in RNAcentral is "Fusobacteria bacterium partial 16S ribosomal RNA". It matches the Rfam family "Bacterial small subunit ribosomal RNA", at positions 355 to 776 of the family's 1533-position model. The record is from RNAcentral. Lineage: Bacteria; Fusobacteriati; Fusobacteriota.
UGGGGAAUAUUGCACAAUGGAGGGAACUCUGAUGCAGCGACGCCGCGUGAGUGAGGAAGGAAUUCGGGUCGUAAAACUCUGUUCUAGGGGAAGAAAAGGACUGUACCAUAGGAGAAAGCUCCGGCGAAAUACGUGCCAGCAGCCGCGGUAAUACGAAUGGAGCGAGCGUUGUCCGGAAUUAUUGGGCGUAAAGGGUGCGCAGGCGGCUUUACAAGUUGGAUGUGAAAUAUUGGGGCUCAACCACAAACGUGCAUCCAAAACUGCAAAGCUUGAGUUAAGGAGAGGUAAGUGGAAUUCCUGGUGUAGCGGUGGAAUGCGUAGAUAUCAGGAGGAAUACCGGUGGCGAAGGCGACUUACUGGACUUAAACUGACGCUCAGGCACGAAAGCGUGGGGAGCAAACAGG